Molecule: ribosomal RNA, 253 nt
Filed under: uncultured bacterium
Lineage: Bacteria
Description: partial 16S ribosomal RNA
Rfam family: Bacterial small subunit ribosomal RNA
Source: RNAcentral
UACAGAGGGUGCAAGCGUUAUUCGGAAUCACUGGGCGUAAAGAGCACGUAGGUGGUUUGCUAAGUCAGAUGUGAAAUCCCUGGACCCAAUCCAGGAACUGCAUCUGAUACUGGUAAACUAGAGUAUAGGAGAGGAAGGCGGAAUUCCAGGUGUAGAGGUGAAAUUCGUAGAUAUCUGGAGGAACAACAGAGGCGAAGGCGGCCUUCUGGACUAUUACUGACACUGAGGUGCGAAAGCGUGGGGAGCAAACGGG